Lathyrus oleraceus (garden pea) is the source of this 3460-nucleotide long non-coding RNA. RefSeq lists it as uncharacterized. Lineage: Eukaryota; Viridiplantae; Streptophyta; Magnoliopsida; Fabales; Fabaceae. The record is from RefSeq and is a predicted model, not a curated record. The transcript has 2 exons.
UCUCUCUCAUUUUAUUUUGGCUUAACUAAUUCUUUGCCAAAUGUUAUAACUCUUAAACUAAAACACCUCACUUGCAAAACUCGUGUUUCUGAUAAUUUAUGAUGAUAUAUUUGAAUAUUCUGUCAGUAUUAUUUUGGAAAAUAAGUAUAGGGAAAAUCCAAGCAGUUAUGUCAUUGGUUCAGUUUUCUCAGCUCACUUUUAAAAGCUUACUCACUUAAGGCUUUGCUUGAGGAUCACGUGGUCUGGUAAACUUGGUUUACCCGUAAUCUUGUAGUUGUAAAAUGAUAGAAUUUGUAUAGCUUUUCUAGAAAAUAAUUGUAUAUCACUUAGUUUUUAUUUGCCUAUCCUCUGUAUAAUUGAUUGUUGGACACUUCAUUUAGGAUUCUAGAUAGGCAUAAAAUCUAAAGAAUGUUUGGAGUGCUAAAUAUUCAUGUAUUAACUCAUGCACCAUUUGAAUAGCUGAAUUAUUGGUAAUAUGAUAGGUCUGUUAGUUAGGAGAUUUAUUUAUUUAAUUAGGCGAUAGUUAGAAGAAAGAUGUGUUGCCUAAGGUAACAAGAGGGGUUUGAGAUGGAGAGUCAUUUGGUGAGAAUUUGAUCUCUCAAAUUUCCAGGGUUUUACAUACUUUGUGUAUAUUUUUACACUCAAUCUAAACUAGUUUCUAGGUUUAGAAAAAGCCUGUCUCUCACUGAUCUGAUCAAAGAAUAGCACAUAGGUAGUAUUUAUGCAGAUUUGGCUGAACAAUUCGGCUACAAGUAUGUAAACAAGAUACACAAAUAUCCUAAAAACCACUAGAGAAUAAAAAAAUAGAAACAUAUAGAUAAACUUUUUUAUAAAAACUUGAAUUGAUUUGAUUCAUAUUUAUUUUUUCCAAACUAGUUCCUAUGAUUCUGGGCAAAAUGCUCAACCAAAUUUGAUAACCCCUCUAGAUGGUCUAUAGAAUAUAGAUAUUUGUUAUGCCUAACUUGAUGUUCAAUUAGAAUAAAUGGCACACACAUAACUCCAACUAUUGUAAUGAUCAAUCUAGAUUAGUAGCUAGCUAGAGAUAAAACGACUCCAAUUGUAUUUAAUUUUGCAACUGGAGCGGUAGGUUUCAAAAUAAUCAAUCCCGUAAGUUUUUGUGAAUUCUUUAUCUUUCAAUAGAGCUGUCCAAAUAUAUACUUAAUUGUUAAUACUCAUUUGCAUUCCACUGUAUUUUUUCCUUUUGGCAGCUCCAUCAUUUACCACACCUGUUUUUGUGUUGUUUUUGAAGAGCUUUAAUCUUUUCUAGGACAGCUUCGUUCCACUCUGGAACUUCUAGGGCAUCUUGUAUAUAUUUUGGAAUAUACAUGACAAUUUGAGUGGUUUUGGAGUUUUAAACAGGCCCAGAAGCAACAACAACCAAGCCUAAUGAGAACUCAGUGGUGUUGAACCCAGUAGUUUUAGAUUCUACAAUGUGCCAAAGAAAGCAACAUAAAUCCGCUCCAAUAUGAUUCUUUUCUGGUUCAAGUAGCUCAAAAUUCAGAUCAAAAGGGCGAAAACCAUAAUUUAUGAUCAUGAGAACUUUUAGUAUACUCAUUUUCUCCAUCAACUAUGGAAAGAAGUACUCCAUCAGCCAUUUUUUAAGAGUAUUUUCUUCCAAAAUAGAGUUGUUAAAUGGAGACCUUGGCAGAAUGGUGUGGCGGCUUUUUCGACAACCGUUGUAGGCUAUUGGUGAAGGGAUGCCCACCACGAGGGCACCAUAGACCGCAAUUACAUGUUUAUAUGAGAAACUUUUUGCCUUCUUCCACCCGUCGUCGACUACAUUGUUCCCGAUAAGCACUCUCUCUUUUGAAUACGGAGGAGAAAUGAACCAAAUAACCAACUGACAUUCCUAACACAUAAUUCUAGUAUCCAGUAUUUCAAGUGGAAUCAUAGGUGAAAUUCACUUUCCUAACACAAUUCUAGUAUCCAGUAUUUCAAGUGGUAUCAUAGGUGAAAUUCACUGUACUCUUUUCCUACAAACUUCACACAACAUAUUAUCUAGUAUCUAGUAUUUCACAAACAUCAGUACACCUUCAAUAACAACUAAGCCUUAUCUUCUAUGGAUUAAUUUCCGUCAUAAUGUUGUAUUUAAUAUCAUGUUUCUAUCUAAUUUAUUAAUUUCGAGAUCUUUCUUAAUAGGUUUUUUUAUAGUUUUUUUAGGUCUUCUUCUAUCUCUAGUUGUGUGGCCUCUUUCAAUCUGAUCUAUUCUCCUAAAAACAUAAUCUACAGGUAUUUUCGCUAGAUGUUCAAACUAUCUAAGUCUAUUUUCUACUAUCCUUUUUAUUAUAGGUGCUACCCCAACACUCUAAUAUUGUUAUUUCUAAUCUUAUUCUGAUUUGUCUUACCACACAUCCAACACAACAUUCUCAUCUCUGCUACACUUAUUUUAUUCUCAUGUUAUUCUUAACUGCCCAACAUUUUGUCCCAUACAUCAUCACAAGUCUUACCGUUGUUUGAUAAAAUAUUUUCUUCGGCUUGAGCGAUACUGUUGUGUCACAUAAAAUUCUCGAGGGCCUCAUUCAUUUCAGCCACCCAACUUGUAUUUGAUGAUUUAUGUCCUCUUCUAUUUUUCCAUCAUUUUGUAUUACGGACCCAAGAUAUUUAAACCACGUGACUUUUUGGAUGAUAUGGUCUCUACUUUUCAACUUUAGAUUAAAACACUUCUCCUUUUGCUGAAUUUACAUUCCAUAUAUUUUGUCUUACUUUUAUUUAUAGGCGAAAACUAUGCAUUUCUAAAAAUCCUCUCCAAGUCUCCAACGUCAUUUAAAUCCUCAUUUGACUCUCUAAGUAGGAUUAUAUCAUCUGCAAAAAGCAUACUCGCGGUAUUAGCUCUUUGAUGUAUUCUGUUAGUAUAUCCAAAAUUAAAGUAAAAAAGUGGGGUUUAUGGUUGAACCUUGAUGCACCUUUAUAUAACAAUUAUUUGGUGCUUGAUAGAUUCCAGAUAAAAGAGCAAUUGAUGGUUUGAAGUUUGAAUCUCAUAUAAGUUGUUUUGUUCUUAGCAAUUAAAUUAUUCUCCUUGACUACAAGGUGGAUGUUGGUUGGGUGGGGAAGUAUUGAUAGGUCCGAUAAGAGAUUUAUUUAGCUAGUUAGAAUGAGAUAGUAAGAAGAGGGCGUUGAGAGGGAGUCAUUUGGGGCUUAUUACUUAUUAGAACUGUGACUAGGGAGAGUCUUGUAUCUCUGGAAUGCCAGGGAUCUACUUAACUUUCUGUAAGUUUGUACACUCAAUCUGUACCAGUUUCUGUCAUAGUAGUGCGUACUUUUCUUUGUCAGUGAUAUUUUUUAUACAAGUAUCAUUGAGUUGAAUUGCAUAUUUAUUGGUAGAUCGUUUGAGCAAUGCAUAAUUGUUUGAUAUUCAAGAACAAUACUGAAUUUUGAUUCUGACGCUUUAAUCUGAUGUGGAAUCUAGUUUGCAGUCUUAGAAAUACUUUUAAAUUUCUUCAUUAAGCACUGUAAAUGAAAU